UAUGUACUCCCUCCGUCCGAAAAAGCUUGUCCCAAGCUUGUCCUUCAAAUGGAUGUAUGUAGCACCAAAUUAGUGCUAGAUACAUCCAUUUGAGGGACAAGUUUUUUUGGACGGAGAGAGUAGUUU
This is a non-coding RNA of Triticum aestivum (bread wheat), 126 nucleotides long. Lineage: Eukaryota; Viridiplantae; Streptophyta; Magnoliopsida; Poales; Poaceae. The record is from Rfam.